AUACGUAGGGGACGAGCGUUGUCCGGAAUUACUGGGCGUAAAGCGCGUGUAGGCGGUUUGUUAAGUCUGAGGUUAAAGCUUGGGGCUCUACCCCAUAAAGCCUUGGGAACUGAUUGACUAGAGUACGGGAGAAGUGAAGGGAACUCCAUGUGUAGCGGUGAAAUGCGUAGAUAUAUGGAAGAACACCAGUGGCGAAGGGGCUUCACUAGCCCGAAACUGACGCUCAGUCACGAAAGCGUGGGUAGCAAAUAGGAUUAGAUACCCUAGUAGUCCACGCCGUAAACGAUGAGUACUAAGUGUUGGAUGUCAAAGUUCAGUGCUGCAGUUAACGCAAUAAGUACUCCGCCUGAGUAGUACGUUCGCAAGAAUGAAACUCAAAUGAAUUGACGGGGACUUAAAUGAAUUGGCGGGG
This 412-nucleotide ribosomal RNA is filed under the name uncultured bacterium. RNAcentral's name for it is "partial 16S ribosomal RNA". It matches the Rfam family "Bacterial small subunit ribosomal RNA", at positions 523 to 937 of the family's 1533-position model. The record is from RNAcentral.